AGAGAGGGUGGGGGGAGAGAGGAUGGGGGAGAGAGGAUGGAAGGGUAGGGAGAUCAAAUCAAAAUAAAAUCUAACUUUAUUUGUCACAUGCACCGAAUACAACAAGUAUAGACCUUAACUUGAAAUGCUUAAUUACAAGCCCUUAACCGACAACGCAGUUCAAGAAGAGUUAAGAAAAUAUUUACCAGAUAAACUAAAGUAUUUUUUUUGUUUUAAGUAACACAAUAAAAUACCAAUAAUGUGCUAUAGACAGGGGGUACCGGUACCGAGUCAGUGUGCAGGGGUACAGGUUGGUUGAGGUAAUUUGUACAUGAAAGUUGGGGUGAAGUGACUAUGCAUAGAUAAUAAACAGUGAGUAGCAGCACUGCAGAAAACAAAUGGGGGGGGGGUGUCAAUGUAAAUAGUCUGGUGGUCUUUUGAUUAACUGUUCAGCAGUCUUAUGGCUUGGGGGUAGAAGCUGUUAAGGAGCCUUUUAGUCUUAGACUUGGAGCCUCUGAUGAUUUUAUGGGCUUUCCUCUGACACCGCCUAUUAUAUAGGUCCUAGAUGGCAGGAAGCUUGGCCCCAGUGAUCUACUGGGCCAUACGCACUAGAGGUCGACCGAUUAAUCGGAAUGGACGAUUAAUUAGGGCCGAUUUCAAGUUUUCAUAACAAUCGGAAAUCGGCAUUGUUGGGCACCGAUCUUGGCCGAUUACAUUGCACUCCACGAGGAGACUGCGUGGCAGGCUGACUACCUGUUACGUGAGUGCAGCAAGGAGCCAAGGUAAGUUGCUAGCUAGCAUUAAACGUAUCUUAUAAAGAACAAUCAAUCUUAACAUAAUCACUAGUUAACUACACAUGGUUGAUGAUAGUACUAGUUUAUCUAGCUUGUCCUGCGUUGCAUAUAAUCAAUGCGGUUUCUGUUAAUUUAUCAUUGAAACACAGCCUACUUCGCCAAACAGGUGAUUUAACAAGCGCAUUCGCGAAAAAAGCACUGUCGUUGCACCAAUGUGUUCCUAACCUGUCACGGUUGUCGUCGGUGAAGGAGGACCAAAACGCAGCAGGUAAGUGCAGGCUCAUCUUGACGUUUAUUUAUUUUCAAAAUGAAUACCAAAAUAACAAAACACUAGAACGAACGAACAACAACAAACAGUCUGGCAAAGCAUAAGGCUCAACACAGAACAAUCACCCACAAAUAACAAACACAAACACACCCUCAUAUAUGGGACUCUCAAUCAAAGGCAGAUAGACAACACCUGCCUUCAACUGAGAGUCCCAACCCCAAUUAACCAAACAUAGAAACAGACAUACUAGACUAAACAUAGAAUACCUGAAAACCAAACAGUGCCCCAAAAACCCCGGAAUACUUAAACCAAAUGCCCCUUCAACAAAACACACCACCCCGAACCACAUAAAACGAAUACCCUCUGCCACGUCCUGACCAAACUACAAUACCAAUUAACCUUAUACUGGCCAGGACGUGACAGUACCCCCCCCCUUAAAGGGAGGGAAGGGAGGGUGGCUGCCGUCAACGACGGCACUGUGCUACACCCCCCCUCCCCAACCCACCUAUCUCUGGAGGUGGCUCCGGCUCUGGCCGUUCCAGGCUGUCGGGGCAGUCUGGCAACUCGGGACAGUCUGGGCAGUCUGGCAACUCGGGACAGUCUGGCCACUCGGGACAGUCUGGGCAGUCUGGCCACUCGGGACAGUCUGGGCAGUCUGGCCACUCCGGCAGUUCAGGGCAGUCUGGCCACUCCGGCAGUUCAGGGCAGUCUGGCCACUCCGGCAGUUCAGGGCAGUCUGGCCACUCCGGCAGUUCAGGGCAGUCUGGCCACUCCGGCAGUUCCGGCGUCUGUGCACUGGC
RNAcentral lists this long non-coding RNA (1841 nucleotides) under Salmo salar (Atlantic salmon). RNAcentral describes it as "lncRNA (ENSSSAG00000092093.1)". Lineage: Eukaryota; Metazoa; Chordata; Actinopteri; Salmoniformes; Salmonidae. The record is from RNAcentral.